Molecule: transfer RNA, 87 nt
Filed under: Clostridiales bacterium
Lineage: Bacteria; Bacillati; Bacillota; Clostridia; Eubacteriales
Also listed under: 1 other name
Description: tRNA-Leu
Rfam family: tRNA
About the family: Transfer RNA (tRNA) molecules are approximately 80 nucleotides in length. Their secondary structure includes four short double-helical elements and three loops (D, anti-codon, and T loops).
Source: RNAcentral
GCGGGAAUGGCGGAAUUGGCAGACGCGCUAGAUUCAGGGUCUAGUGGUCGCAAGAUCGUGCAGGUUCAAGUCCUGUUUCCCGCACCA